AUCCAACAGACGAGUGCCACAUAGGACGAAAUGCGCGUCCUGGAU
This 45-nucleotide non-coding RNA is filed under the name Schistosoma mattheei. Lineage: Eukaryota; Metazoa; Platyhelminthes; Trematoda; Strigeidida; Schistosomatidae. The record is from RNAcentral.